CAGGCUUAAUACAUGCAAGUCGAGGGGCAGCAUGGUCUUAGCUUGCUAAGACUGAUGGCGACCGGCGCACGGGUGAGUAACACGUAUCCAACCUGCCGUCUACUCUUGGACAGCCUUCUGAAAGGAAGAUUAAUACAAGAUGGCAUCAUGAGUCCGCAUGUUCACAUGAUUAAAGGUAUUCCGGUGGACGAUGGGGAUGCGUUCCAUUAGAUAGUAGGCGGGGUAACGGCCCACCUAGUCUUCGAUGGAUAGGGGUUCUGAGAGGAAGGUCCCCCACAUUGGAACUGAGACACGGUCCAAACUCCUACGGGAGGCAGCAGUGAGGAAUAUUGGUCAAUGGGCGAGAGCCUGAACCAGCCAAGUAGCGUGAAGGAUGACUGCCCUAUGGGUUGUAAACUUCUUUUAUAAAGGAAUAAAGUCGGGUAUGGAUACCCGUUUGCAUGUACUUUAUGAAUAAGGAUCGGCUAACUCCGUGCCAGCAGCCGCGGUAAUACGGAGGAUCCGAGCGUUAUCCGGAUUUAUUGGGUUUAAAGGGAGCGUAGAUGGAUGUUUAAGUCAGUUGUGAAAGUUUGCGGCUCAACCGUAAAAUUGCAGUUGAUACUGGAUAUCUUGAGUGCAGUUGAGGCAGGCGGAAUUCGUGGUGUAGCGGUGAAAUGCUUAGAUAUCACGAAGAACUCCGAUUGCGAAGGCAGCCUGCUAAGCUGCAACUGACAUUGAGGCUUGAAAGUGUGGGUAUCAAACAGGAUUAGAUACCCUGGUAGUCCACACGGUAAACGAUGAAUACUCGCUGUUUGCGAUAUACUGCAAGCGGCCAAGCGAAAGCGUUAAGUAUUCCACCUGGGGAGUACGCCGGCAACGGUGAAACUCAAAGGAAUUGACGGGGGCCCGCACAAGCGGAGGAACAUGUGGUUUAAUUCGAUGAUACGCGAGGAACCUUACCCGGGCUUAAAUUGCAGAUGAAUUACGGUGAAAGCCGUAAGCCGCAAGGCAUCUGUGAAGGUGCUGCAUGGUUGUCGUCAGCUCGUGCCGUGAGGUGUCGGCUUAAGUGCCAUAACGAGCGCAACCCUUGUUGUCAGUUACUAACAGGUUCCGCUGAGGACUCUGACAAGACUGCCAUCGUAAGAUGUGAGGAAGGUGGGGAUGACGUCAAAUCAGCACGGCCCUUACGUCCGGGGCUACACACGUGUUACAAUGGGGGGUACAGAGGGCCGCUACCACGCGAGUGGAUGCCAAUCCCAAAAACCUCUCUCAGUUCGGACUGGAGUCUGCAACCCGACUCCACGAAGCUGGAUUCGCUAGUAAUCGCGCAUCAGCCACGGCGCGGUGAAUACGUUCCCGGGCCUUGUACACACCGCCCGUCAAGCCAUGGGAGCCGGGGGUACCUGAAGUGCGUAACCGCGAGGAGCGCCCUAGGGUAAAACUGGUGACUGGGGCUAAGUCAUAAC
RNAcentral lists this ribosomal RNA (1445 nucleotides) under uncultured organism. RNAcentral describes it as "16S ribosomal RNA". It matches the Rfam family "Bacterial small subunit ribosomal RNA". The record is from RNAcentral.